GCUUUGACUGGCGGGCUGAACCAGGUGAGGGGAGCCGGUGUGCCUUGAACGCUUGGUGAGUUAGGGACUCCCCUUGUGUGCAAAGACAGGUUCCGGUGGAUUGAAGGGAUGACUUUUAGAAGACAUCUGAAGGCAGCCCUGUUUAGGGAAGCUUUUAAUGUUUAAUAGAUUAUUGUAGUUUAAUAUUCUGUUGGAAGCCGCCCAGAGUGGCUGGGGAAUUAAUAAUUAAUAAUAAUAAUAAUAAUAAUAAUGGCAAUAGCCCAACAGUGAUCAAGAAGGCAGUUUCUGUAGAGGGAAGUGAGGGGCAAAUGGGGCUCGUCCACCUGGGAAGGGAGCCCAUCUAGGGUAAGGAAAACUCUGAUCCUUAACCUCUGCUGCCUUGCAGGAUGUCUUUGGGGGAAGAAAAGGCUCAGGAGUGAACCCUACGCAAAUCCAGAGUGGAGACGCUAAGGCGGUUGGAGGCAGCAGUUACAACUGCACCGAAUCAUAGCAUUGUGGAGUUGGAAGGGACCCCAAGGGUCAUCUAGUCCAACCCCCCGCAAUGCAGGGGUUACGGGCCUCUGCAGCCGCAGUCGGUGCUCUGAUUCCCCAGCGAUUUGACUUCACCUCCGGAGGUGACAGACGGGUGCCAACAACCG
Non-coding RNA from Podarcis lilfordi (Lilford's wall lizard), 638 nucleotides. Lineage: Eukaryota; Metazoa; Chordata; Lepidosauria; Squamata; Lacertidae. The record is from the annotation of a GenBank genome assembly.